This 376-nucleotide ribosomal RNA is filed under the name uncultured bacterium. RNAcentral's name for it is "bacterial SSU rRNA". It matches the Rfam family "Bacterial small subunit ribosomal RNA", at positions 521 to 896 of the family's 1533-position model. The record is from RNAcentral.
UAACACGUAUGGGGCGAGCGUUGUUCGGAAUUAUUGGGCGUAAAGGGCGUGUAGGCGGUUUCAUAAGCCUGGUGUUAAAGGCGCUGGCUCAACCAGUGUUGUGCGCUGGGAACUGUGGGACUUGAGUUCAGGAGAGGAGGCUGGAAUUCCUGGUGUAGGGGUGAAAUCUGUAGAUAUCAGGAAGAACACCGGUGGCGAAGGCGAGCUUCUAGCCAUGGACUGACGCUGAGGCGCGAAAGCGUGGGGAGCGAACAGGAUUAGAUACCCUGGUAGUCCACGCUGUAAACGAUGUGCACUAGGCGUUGGGUGUGUUGAGCAGUCAGUGCCGUAGCGAACGCGUUAAGUGCACCGCCUGGGGAGUAUGCCCGCAAGGGUG